Molecule: long non-coding RNA, 620 nt
Filed under: Capra hircus (goat)
Lineage: Eukaryota; Metazoa; Chordata; Mammalia; Artiodactyla; Bovidae
Description: lncRNA (ENSCHIG00000004261.1)
Source: RNAcentral
CUCUGAGAUAAGAAUUCUGGAAAGCUCAUUUCCCACAAAGUAAGAAAGAAUUGGACCAUAAAGAAAGGUUGGAACAUUACUUUCCUGGUGCAAGACUGUCCAAAGCUUCCUUUCCUCCUGGCACAGUGAUCAGCAGGAUUUUGGUGGGGAAGAUGGGAGGCUGCUCCAUCUGCCUGUAUCUCUGAGUGACUGCAAUAAACUGUGCUUCUCUACUGACCUGGGAUGGGUUGGAUGGUGAUAAGCGCUCCCCCCUCAUGCAAGAUUCUGCAUCAGUAUGACAAGAAGCAGCAGCUGAUGACUCAGAGGAUGUUAACUGGCUUUAUUAAUCAUAACCACAAACCAGAAGCUGUGUGUUUUCUCCAGGAGUUGAGUGAGAGAUUGCCUUGUCUCCUGCCGCUCCCAUGGUAUAAUCAAGGCAUCAAGCUAAAUUAAAGGAAAUGCCAUCAUCUCAUGACAGCAGGAUGAAACUGAUACUCAUAGAUGACUCAACACAUGAGCCGCAGAAGAGACCUCAGAAUUGGAUUCUUCCCUUACAGAUUAGGAAGCUGAAGUUCAAGAGGCUCUAAGCUCAUGCAGCCACAUCCGAAGGUUUCAUAUAGCUGUAUUAACGUGGGAAAUCU